GAUGAACGCUGGCGGCGUGCCUAAUACAUGCAAGUCGAGCGAACGGACGAGAAGCUUGCUUCUCUGAUGUUAGCGGCGGACGGGUGAGUAACAUGUGGAUAACCUACCUAUAAGACUGGGAUAACUUCGGGAAACCGUAGCUAAUACCGGAUAAUAUUUUGAACCGCAUGGUUCAAAAGUGAAAGACGGUCUUGCUGUCACUUAUAGAUGGAUCCGCGCUGCAUUAGCUAGUUGGUAAGGUAACGGCUUACCAAGGCAACGAUGCAUAGCCGACCUGAGAGGGUGAUCGGCCACACUGGAACUGAGACACGGUCCAGACUCCUACGGGAGGCAGCAGUAGGGAAUCUUCCGCAAUGGGCGAAAGCCUGACGGAGCAACGCCGCGUGAGUGAUGAAGGUCUUCGGAUCGUAAAACUCUGUUAUUAGGGAAGAACAUAUGUGUAAGUAACUGUGCACAUCUUGACGGUACCUAAUCAGAAAGCCACGGCUAACUACGAG
This 497-nucleotide ribosomal RNA is filed under the name uncultured bacterium. RNAcentral describes it as "partial 16S ribosomal RNA". It matches the Rfam family "Bacterial small subunit ribosomal RNA", at positions 28 to 507 of the family's 1533-position model. The record is from RNAcentral.